Molecule: ribosomal RNA, 406 nt
Filed under: uncultured bacterium
Lineage: Bacteria
Description: partial 16S ribosomal RNA
Rfam family: Bacterial small subunit ribosomal RNA
Source: RNAcentral
AUUGAACGCUGGCGGCAGGCCUAACACAUGCAAGUCGAACGAGUGGCGGACGGGUGAGUAAUGUCUGGGAAACUGCGCGAUGGGGGGGGAUCACUACUGGAAAGGGUAUCUAAUACCGCAUACCAUCGGGUGUGCCCAGAUGGGAUUAGCUAGUAGGGGGGGUAACGGCUCACCUAGGCGACGAUCCCUAGCUGGGCUGAGAGGAUGCCCCGCCAAACUGGAACCGGGGCAAGGGCCCAACUCCUACGGGAGGGCGCAGGGGGGAAUCAUUCGCAAUGGACGGAAGUCUGACGGAGCAACGCCGCGUGAGGGAAGACGGGCUUCGGGUUGUAAAGCUCGUUAAUCGGGAAGACGGUACCGGAAGAGAAAGCAACGGCUAACUCCGUGCCAGCAGCCGCGGUAAUAC